AACGAACGCUGGCGGCAUGCCUAACACAUGCAAGUCGAACGAUCCCUUCGGGGAUAGUGGCGCACGGGUGCGUAACGCGUGGGAACCUGCCCUUAGGUUCGGAAUAACUCAGAGAAAUUUGAGCUAAUACCGGAUAAUGUCUUCGGACCAAAGAUUUAUCGCCUUUGGAUGGGCCCGCGUUGGAUUAGCUAGUUGGUGGGGUAAAGGCCUACCAAGGCGACGAUCCAUAGCUGGUCUGAGAGGAUGAUCAGCCACACUGGGACUGAGACACGGCCCAGACUCCUACGGGAGGCAGCAGUGGGGAAUAUUGGACAAUGGGCGAAAGCCUGAUCCAGCAAGGCCGCGUGAGUGAUGAAGGCCUUAGGGUUGUAAAGCUCUUUUACCCGGGAUGAUAAUGACAGUACCGGGAGAAUAAGCCCCGGCUAACUCCGUG
Molecule: ribosomal RNA, 433 nt
Filed under: uncultured bacterium
Lineage: Bacteria
Description: partial 16S ribosomal RNA
Rfam family: Bacterial small subunit ribosomal RNA
Source: RNAcentral